UACGUAGGGUCCGAGCGUUGUCCGGAAUUAUUGGGCGUAAAGAGCUCGUAGGCGGCCUGUCGCGUCUGCUGUGAAAGUCCGGGGCUUAACUCCGGGUGUGCAGUGGAUACGGGCAGGCUUGAGGUAGGCAGGGGAGACUGGAAUUCCUGGUGUAGCGGUGAAAUGCGCAGAUAUCAGGAGGAACACCGGUGGCGAAGGCGGGUCUCUGGGCCUUACCUGACGCUGAGGAGCGAAAGCGUGGGGAGCGAACAGGAUUAGAUACCCUGGUAGU
This 271-nucleotide ribosomal RNA is filed under the name uncultured prokaryote. RNAcentral's name for it is "partial 16S ribosomal RNA". It matches the Rfam family "Bacterial small subunit ribosomal RNA", at positions 524 to 794 of the family's 1533-position model. The record is from RNAcentral.